Molecule: non-coding RNA, 44 nt
Organism: Schistosoma curassoni
Lineage: Eukaryota; Metazoa; Platyhelminthes; Trematoda; Strigeidida; Schistosomatidae
Source: Rfam
GUCAGCUGACGAGUCCCAAAUAGGACGAAAGGUGCGUCCUGGAU